AUCGCUUCUCGGCCUUUGGGCUAAGAUCAAGUGUAGUAUCUAUUGUU
Molecule: small nuclear RNA, 47 nt
Filed under: Cervus elaphus hippelaphus
Lineage: Eukaryota; Metazoa; Chordata; Mammalia; Artiodactyla; Cervidae
Rfam family: U2 spliceosomal RNA
About the family: U2 is a small nuclear RNA (snRNA) component of the spliceosome (involved in pre-mRNA splicing). Complementary binding between U2 snRNA (in an area lying towards the 5' end but 3' to hairpin I) and the branchpoint sequence (BPS) of the intron results the bulging out of an unpaired adenosine, on the BPS, which initiates a nucleophilic attack at the intronic 5' splice site, thus starting the first of two transesterification reactions that mediate splicing.
Source: RNAcentral